RNAcentral lists this ribosomal RNA (497 nucleotides) under uncultured bacterium. Its description in RNAcentral is "partial 16S ribosomal RNA". It matches the Rfam family "Bacterial small subunit ribosomal RNA", at positions 28 to 507 of the family's 1533-position model. The record is from RNAcentral.
GAUGAACGCUGGCGGCGUGCCUAAUACAUGCAAGUCGAGCGAACAGAUAAGGAGCUUGCUCCUUUGACGUUAGCGGCGGACGGGUGAGUUACACGUGGAUAACCUACCUAUAAGACUGGGAUAACUUCGGGAAACCGGAGCUAAUACCGGAUAACAUAUUGAACCGCAUGGUUCAAUAGUGAAAGGCGGCUUUGCUGUCACUUAUAGAUGGAUCCGCGCCGUAUUAGCUAGUUGGUAAGGUAACGGCUUACCAAGGCAACGAUACGUAGCCGACCUGAGAGGGUGAUAGGCCACACUGGAACUGAGACACGGUCCAGACUCCUACGGGAGGCAGCAGUAGGGAAUCUUCCGCAAUGGGCGAAAGCCUGACGGAGCAACGCCGCGUGAGUGAUGAAGGUCUUCGGAUCGUAAAACUCUGUUAUCAGGGAAGAACAAAUGUGUAAGUAACUGUGCACAUCUUGACGGUACCUGAUCAGAAAGCCACGGCUAACUACGUG